Molecule: non-coding RNA, 45 nt
Filed under: Schistosoma margrebowiei
Lineage: Eukaryota; Metazoa; Platyhelminthes; Trematoda; Strigeidida; Schistosomatidae
Source: RNAcentral
ACUCAGCUGAAGAGCCCUAAAUAGGACGAAACGUGCAUCUUGAAU